GGCUUCCUGGAGGAAGGAGCAGAUAAGAGAUUCAGGAGGCAAGUUGUUCUGAUGGGGCAGAGGGUUCUGGAGAGCAUCAGGGGUGAGGAGGAGUUCCCUUUGAAACCCAGCCCCCACCACUCUCCCCCACACCCAAGGGCGUAUCUUUCCUUGGCAGGUUCAGAACCUCAUGGCCCGAGCUGAAUACCUGAAGGAGCAGAUGAGGGAAUCUCGCUGGGAAGCUGACACCCUGGACAAAGAGGGACUGUCGGAAUCUGUUCGUAGCUCUUGCACCCUUCAGUGACCCUAGAAGAAUGAUUGGACAGACGUGAGCCAUCUGGAGCAGAGGGACACUAACCCAGGCUGACGCCAAGAAUGAAGUGGCCCACUGCAGCCCUGGCGAGCAGGCUUCUUAGAUGGACAGAGCUGAGACCCCCACAUCCCAGAGUCCCCAGCCUCCCUCAGGUUACUCUGCACCCCACAGAUGGUUUGAUGGCUGUGCUGUAUACUGGAGGGGAGGGCAGGACUCUGGGAGAACAGCACUUCUUUCAUGAGACCUUUGUUACUUGGUGGUUACUGGGUCCUGUGCCUGUCUGUUUUGGGGCAUGCAGCCGUCUAUCGUUUUUGGCUCCGAGAAGAGGGCAAGGGGCCUCUGCAGGGCACUUCUGUGCUUGCCCUCGCCCUGCCAGCAGGCAGCUGUGCCCCUGGCCUGCCCUUCCCGGGACCC
Molecule: small RNA, 706 nt
Filed under: Pongo abelii (Sumatran orangutan)
Lineage: Eukaryota; Metazoa; Chordata; Mammalia; Primates; Hominidae
Description: retained intron
Source: RNAcentral